Molecule: ribosomal RNA, 430 nt
Filed under: uncultured bacterium
Lineage: Bacteria
Description: bacterial SSU rRNA
Rfam family: Bacterial small subunit ribosomal RNA
Source: RNAcentral
UAGGGAAUUUUGCGCAAUGGACGAAAGUCUGACGCAGCGACGCCGCGUGAGCGAUGAAGGUCUUCGGAUCGUAAAGCUCUGUUGGAUGGGAAGAACAGUUUUGCAUCUAAUACAUGCGAAACGUGACCGUACCAUUCGAGUAAGCACCGGCCAACUACGUGCCAGCAGCCGCGGUAAUACGUAGGGUGCAAGCGUUGUUCGGAAUUACUGGGUGUAAAGGGAGAGUAGGCGGUUUGAUAAGUUAGAAGUGAAAUGCCCAGGCUUAACUUGGGACCUGCUUUUAAUACUGUCAGACUUGAGUAUGGGAGAGGAAGAUAGAAUUCCAGGUGUAGCGGUGGAAUGCGUAGAUAUCUGGAAGAAUACCAGUUGCGUAGGCGGUCUUCUGGCCCAAUACUGACGCUGAGGCUCGAAAGCUAGGGGAGCAAACAGG